GUUGCACAUUGAUCACUUUAUUUGCACAAUAUUGCACAAAUUAUUUUCACUGUUUUGAGUCUUAAAGGCACAGCGCACUUUAAUUUUUCAUUGUUUUUACAUAGGUGGUUGAGCUUUUACACGAUAUAUAGUGCUGCUUAUUGGUAUAGAUUAUAGUUUUAAAUUCAGCGCCAUAACAUUACUUGUGCGUUUUAUCACAUUGUAUUUACGCUACCUACACGGUAUGCUGAAUCUGACUACCAGCGGAGAUACCGUGGAUUAUACUACUACUCCGCUACACACCUUAAUGAACAUGCGAUGAGGCCUGCCAGGCUGGGAAUGUAUCCUUAACACAAACUCCUAGAUUAAGAGUAUCUUUAACUGCACAGAUAUUCACAUCAAUGAGAUACUGGCCUAUAUGACCGGCACCGUUGUAGAAUGAUCCCCUUGGAAUAUGCCAUGGCCAAUAAUCGAAGGCAUGUGUUCAGUACCCCUAAAUUAAGACUGGUAUAGACAAUAAUUGAAGGCACGGGUUUAAUAUCCAUACCCCUAGAUUAAGAUUGGUGUAGACAUGCCAUGGCCAAUAAUUGAAGGCACGUGUUUAAUAUCCAUACCCCUAGGGCUAGAUUAAGACUGGUGUAGACAUUCCAUGGUCAAUAACUGAAGGCACGGGUUUAAUAUCCAUUCCCCUGGAUUAAGAUUGGUGUAGUCAUGCCAUGGCCAAUAAUCGAAGGCAUGUGUUCAGUACCCCUAAAUUAAGACUGGUAUAGACAAUAAUUGAAGGCACGGGUUUAAUAUCCAUACCCCUAGAUUAAGAUUGGUGUAGACAUGCCAUGGCCAAUAAUUGAAGGCACGUGUUUAAUAUCCAUACCCCUAGGGCUAGAUUAAGACUGGUGUAGACAUUCCAUGGUCAAUAACUGAAGGCACGGGUUUAAUAUCCAUUCCCCUGGAUUAAGAUUGGUGUAGUCAUGCCAUGGCCAAUAAUCGAAGGCAUGUGUUCAAUACUAAUAUCCCUGGAUUAAGACUGGUGUAGGCUAAGACAAAAUAAGUUUGCUUUGUUAAAGUGGAACUGUCACUUCUCUGGUACUAUAACAUUAAAACUGGAGUUAACCUUUUAACAUGUGAUGCUGUGUUCUUUUAAAUGUACAAGAGUUAGCAAAUUACAUCACAAUCCAGUUUAGUCAAGGCACAGCCAAGGAACACACCGAGAAGGCGUUAGAAAAAUAGAAGCAAUGUUUUUCUCUUGCUCUGUGCUGACUGACAGGUGCAGAAGGUGGAGCUUAUAACAAUGAUCGACAGAGAGACAAGAUGGGAGCACUCCAUUCCAGAAUAGCGGUAACUACAAUGGCAAGGAUUACUAUAUCCAAGCUUAUUUUUCAGACUUUACAAACAUAAUAUUAAUAACCCUGGGAAAUGACAGUUCUUUUAAGCUCAACACCAAUGGAUACUUUAAACGAGCCUGCAUGCAUUGUGCCUGUCCUGCGACCCCGAAGCAACCAUGGUUGCAUCUUGUAAUCAGAAAAUCCCAUAUUGCAGUGUAGAAAACAUGGCAAACAUUUUUUUGUCCUUUGUUAUUGUUAAUGGUAUCAAACUGCAUGUGUGUCCUGUAAAGGAAUACUGUAACCAUUUCAUCUCAUUUAACUAGUUAUAGGGUCUGGUCCCCCUGGCUCUGUCCCUCCAUUCAGUGUUAAACCAAUUUUGAGCUGUUACACAAAAUAUAGACCCUGGCCCCACACAGCCCGGCACACCCUGGAGGUAUGGCCAAUGCAAAAAUUCAACACUAUCUUCUAGCUGUACAAAUGCAUACCAGCAAUAGGUGCUGUGAUGGGGUGAAAGCAGGCAGCUGACACAGCCACUCAUUACGGCUCAGGCUGAUGCUCCCUUAUUAACCCAAGCAGCGCAGAGGGAAUGGAUUGCUAGGACUUUUAUUUACAUUUCAAAGCUAAAUGGAAAGAGAGCACCAGGGAUCUCCAGAUACUAUAAUCACUUUAAUAAAAAAAAAUAUUAAGCAGUUACAGUGCCUACACCGUUUAAAAGAGACCAUGAACAUGUAACCAUGGGAUAAUCAGUUAGGAUUUUCAGGUGGAUAUAAUCUUCCCAACGGGAAUUGUGUGUGUGUGUGUGUGUGUGUGGACAUUAGCAUUUGACAGUUAACAAGCAAAUCUAACCCCUUCUAUAUGAGCAAGUGCUCCCCCAGACUGACACAGACAGGUCUCAGACCAUCAGCAUUUACCUUCUCAAUGGAUGGAUACCUUGGACCCUUUCCAAUUGACUUGGUUUUACUACUGGUAACAUAGAAUGUACGGUGUCAUUUUAAUGCUUUGUCAAUAAAAGCAACAUUUUAAUUUAA
This 2329-nucleotide long non-coding RNA is filed under the name Pelobates cultripes (western spadefoot toad). The record is from RNAcentral. Lineage: Eukaryota; Metazoa; Chordata; Amphibia; Anura; Pelobatidae.